UGCAUCGGCCGGGAAUCGAACCCGGGCCGCCCGCAUGGCAGGCGAGCAUUCUACCACUGAAUCACCGAUCC
This 71-nucleotide transfer RNA is filed under the name Cordylochernes scorpioides. Its description in RNAcentral is "tRNA-Gly". The record is from RNAcentral. Lineage: Eukaryota; Metazoa; Arthropoda; Arachnida; Pseudoscorpiones; Chernetidae.